CCUACGGGGGGCAGCAGUGGGGAAUUUUGCGCAAUGGGGGAAACCCUGACGCAGCGACGCCGCGUGGAGGAUGAAGGUCUUCGGAUUGUAAACUCCUUUUGUCGGGGAAGAUAAUGACGGUACCCGAUGAAUAAGCCACGGCUAACUCUGUGCCAGCAGCCGCGGUAAGACAGAGGUGGCAAGCGUUGUUCGGAAUUACUGGGCUUAAUGGGCGCGUAGGCGGUGGAGUAAGUCUGAGGUGGAAGAUUAGGGCUUAACCCUAAAAUUGCCUUGGAAACUGCAUCACUAGAGUCCGGAAGAGUAGAGCGGAAUUCCCGGUGUAGCGGUGAAAUGCGCAGAUAUCGGGAAGAACACCAGUGGCGAAGGCGGCUCUCUGGGACGGUACUGACGCUGAGACGCGAAAGCGUGGGGAGCAAACAGGAUUAGAUACCCGAGUANUC
This 440-nucleotide ribosomal RNA is filed under the name uncultured bacterium. RNAcentral's name for it is "bacterial SSU rRNA". It matches the Rfam family "Bacterial small subunit ribosomal RNA", at positions 338 to 795 of the family's 1533-position model. The record is from RNAcentral.